GAUGAACGCUAGCUGCAGGCCUAAUACAUGCAAGUCGAACGAGAUUAAGAGGCUUUCUUCUUAUGAAAGUGGUGCACGGGUGCGCAACGCGUAUGCAACCUACCUUAAUCAGGGGGAUAGACCGAAGAAAUUCAUAUUAAGAACGCAUAAAAACACAGGAUAGCAUUAUCCAAUGUUCAAAUAUUUAUAGGAUUAAGAUGGGCAUGCGUGUCAUUAGGUGGUUGGCGGGGUAACGGCCCACCAAGGCGACGAUGACUAGGGGUUCUGAGAGGAUGACCCCCCACACUGGUACUGGGAAACGGACCAAACUCCGACGGGAGGCAGCAGUAAGGAAUAUUGGUCAAUGGACGGAACUCUGAACCAGCCAUGUCGCGUGCAGGAAGACAGCCCUCUGGGUCGUAAACUGCUUUUAUACGGGAAUAAACCUUUCUACGUGUAGGAUGCUGAAUGUACCGAAGGAAUAAGGAUCGGCUAACUCCGUGCCAGCAGCCGCCGUAA
This 498-nucleotide ribosomal RNA is filed under the name uncultured bacterium. RNAcentral's name for it is "partial 16S ribosomal RNA". It matches the Rfam family "Bacterial small subunit ribosomal RNA", at positions 28 to 523 of the family's 1533-position model. The record is from RNAcentral.